RNAcentral lists this ribosomal RNA (254 nucleotides) under uncultured bacterium. Its description in RNAcentral is "partial 16S ribosomal RNA". It matches the Rfam family "Bacterial small subunit ribosomal RNA", at positions 524 to 776 of the family's 1533-position model. The record is from RNAcentral.
UACGUAGGGUCCGAGCGUUGUCCGGAUUUAUUGGGCGUAAAGAGCUCGUAGGCGGCUUGCUAAGUCAGGUGUGAAACCUCCAGGGCUCAACCCUGGACCUGCACCCGAUACGGGCGGACUAGAGUUCGGUAGGGGAGACUGGAAUUCCUGGUGUAGCGGUGAAAUGCGCAGAUAUCAGGAGGAACACCGGUGGCGAAGGCGGGUCUCUGGGCCGAUACUGACGCUGAGGAGCGAAAGCGUGGGGAGCGAACAGG